GGGCGGACGUAGCCAAGUGGAUUAAGGCAG
Molecule: transfer RNA, 30 nt
Filed under: Andreaea rothii
Lineage: Eukaryota; Viridiplantae; Streptophyta; Andreaeopsida; Andreaeales; Andreaeaceae
Also listed under: 4 other names
Description: partial tRNA-His
Source: RNAcentral